UCUGAUCCAUCUUUUACCUUUCUGGUGUAUGUCACCAAGCUGAUACUUCAGUGGUUCUGAAGUGAAGCAUUUGCCUUUUCUUUUGGCCUUCGCAAUUUGUUUUUUUAAUUUCAUACGAUAGUUAUUUUCCUUUUCACAUGUUAUCUAAAAUUAAUAGGAGACAUGCUGGAAUGGCAUAAUCUUGGCCUGGUGUUUAGAGAACCUUGUAAUCUCAUCUUUAGGCAUAUUUUGUAAAGAAAACUUUUUUGUUUGCCUUCUCAAUUUGGUCUGAUGGAUGAUCAGGCUGCCAGGCAUUCCAUCCCUUCUCCAUUUAAUAGGCCAAGGGUUAAAGCAUAGAGAAGAGGAUGAUAUGGAGAACUGUUCGUAUGUCAUCCGGAAAAAGAGGGGAGAUGAAAGAAUAUGAUGCAUAGCAGCGGAGAUGUGCAAGUUUCAUGGGCCACAUAAUGUUCUGUCGACCAGAAAUGCAGAGCUGGCAUGCACCACAACUGUUUGGUCAAUGCUUGGGAGGAAGAGGUCGGCAAGGGUGAAGCCAAUGGCAAGGGUGGGUAGCAGGCAAGCGAUGUACCGGUUGAUCUGCUUGUAUCAGGUUAUUGAUCCCACUCUCAAUGAGACGUUCCACUUAACUCAGGAGCAUAAGAGAAAGUUGUUUCAAUUGCAGAAUCUUACCCUAUUGUCAAAGAGGUCUACCGUCUAAUAGAGCAAUAUUUUUCAGAUGUCAUGGCAAGGAGGGGCCAAGGUUUGGUGCUACUACCAGGAUAUCAUAUUAGAUUGUAAUUUCAAUGAGAUCAUGUAGUGUGAUGUGAGAAAUGUCUUCUUCAUCCAUUGCCAUGGAUGGAUGGCAGACCAAAAGGCAGUACUCGUGGGGUUGUAGCACUUUUAUAAUGUUCUAUCCAAUUCAAGCUUUUAAAUUUAUUACUUUGUGAGAAACCAAACUAUCGAGUUGUACUCACAUUUUCUUAUCCCAAAGAAGAAACCAAGUUGAACAAGGU
Molecule: long non-coding RNA, 989 nt
Organism: Panicum virgatum (switchgrass)
Lineage: Eukaryota; Viridiplantae; Streptophyta; Magnoliopsida; Poales; Poaceae
Exons: 6
Source: RefSeq, a predicted model, not a curated record